CAGUGUGUGUGUUAGUGGAAGCGUCUGGAAAGGCGUGCGAUACAGGGUGACAGCCCCGUACACAAAAAUGCACAUAUUGUGAGCUCGAUGAGUAGGGCGGGACACGUGGUAUCCUGUCUGAAUAUGGGGGGACCAUCCUCCAAGGCUAAAUACUCCUGACUGACCGAUAGUGAACCAGUACCGUGAGGGAAAGGCGAAAAGAACCCCGGCGAGGGGAGUGAAAAAGAACCUGAAACCGUGUACGUACAAGCAGUGGGAGCACGCUUAGGCGUGUGACUGCGUACCUUUUGUAUAAUGGGUCAGCGACUUAUAUUCUGUAGCAAGGUUAACCGAAUAGGGGAGCCGAAGGGAAACCGAGUCUUAACUGGGCGUUAAGUUGCAGGGUAUAGACCCGAAACCCGGUGAUCUAGCCAUGGGCAGGUUGAAGGUUGGGUAACACUAACUGGAGGACCGAACCGACUAAUGUUGAAAAAUUAGCGGAUGACUUGUGGCUGGGGGUGAAAGGCCAAUCAAACCGGGAGAUAGCUGGUUCUCCCCGAAAGCUAUUUAGGUAGCGCCUCGUGAAUUCAUCUCCGGGGGUAGAGCACUGUUUCGGCAAGGGGGUCAUCCCGACUUACCAACCCGAUGCAAACUGCGAAUACCGGAGAAUGUUAUCACGGGAGACACACGGCGGGUGCUAACGUCCGUCGUGAAGAGGGAAACAACCCAGACCGCCAGCUAAGGUCCCAAAGUCAUGGUUAAGUGGGAAACGAUGUGGGAAGGCCCAGACAGCCAGGAUGUUGGCUUAGAAGCAGCCAUCAUUUAAAGAAAGCGUAAUAGCUCACUGGUCGAGUCGGCCUGCGCGGAAGAUGUAACGGGGCUAAACCAUGCAC
RNAcentral lists this ribosomal RNA (872 nucleotides) under Escherichia coli. RNAcentral's name for it is "partial 23S ribosomal RNA". It matches the Rfam family "Bacterial large subunit ribosomal RNA", at positions 318 to 1194 of the family's 2925-position model. The record is from RNAcentral. Lineage: Bacteria; Pseudomonadati; Pseudomonadota; Gammaproteobacteria; Enterobacterales; Enterobacteriaceae.